RNAcentral lists this ribosomal RNA (621 nucleotides) under uncultured bacterium. RNAcentral's name for it is "bacterial SSU rRNA". It matches the Rfam family "Bacterial small subunit ribosomal RNA", at positions 37 to 691 of the family's 1533-position model. The record is from RNAcentral.
UGGCGGCGCGCUUACACAUGCAAGUCGCACGAGAAAGUGGAGCAAUCCAUGAGUAAAGUGGCGUACGGGUGAGUAACACGUGGAUCAUCUACCUCUUAGUGGGGAAUAACUCUGGGAAACCGGAGCUAAUACCGCAUGGGCCUGAAAAGGGAAAGCAGCAAUGCGCUGAGAGAGGAGUCCGCGGCCGAUUAGCUAGUUGGUAGGGUAACGGCCUACCAAGGCAAUGAUCGGUAGCCGGCCUGAGAGGGCACACGGCCACACUGGCACUGAAACACGGGCCAGACUCCUACGGGAGGCAGCAGUGGGGAAUCUUGCACAAUGGAGGAAACUCUGAUGCAGCGACGCCGCGUGAGCGAUGAAGCCCUUCGGGGUGUAAAGCUCUUUCGACAGGAACGAUUAUGACGGUACCUGGAGAAGAAGCUGCGGCUAACUACGUGCCAGCAGCCGCGGUAAUACGUAGGCAGCAAGCGUUGUUCGGAAUUACUGGGCGUAAAGAGUGUGUAGGCGGUUCUCUAUGUUCGGUGUGAAAUCUCCCGGCUUAACUGGGAGGGUGCGCCGAAAACUGGAGGGCUUGAGUAUGGGAGAGGAAAGCGGAAUUCCUGGUGUAGCGGUGAAAUGCGU